Molecule: ribosomal RNA, 421 nt
Filed under: uncultured eukaryote
Lineage: Eukaryota
Description: bacterial SSU rRNA
Rfam family: Eukaryotic small subunit ribosomal RNA
Source: RNAcentral
CAAUAGCGUAUAUUAAAGUUGUUGCAGUUAAAAAGCUCGUAGUUGGACUUCUGAUGUGGGACUGCGCCCCGGUAUUUUGCCGUUGGGUGCGGGCUCGCGUCUUCCUCUCGUAGUUGGAUGGUGCACUUAACUGGGUGCCUUCUGAAUAUGGGACCUUUACUUUGAAAAAUUAGAGUGUUUAAAGCAGGCUAUUGCCUUGAAUACAUUAGCAUGGAAUAAUAAUCUAGGACUUCGGUUCUAUUUUGUUGGUUUCUAGUACUGAAGUAAUGAUUGAUAGGGAUAGUUGGGGGUGGCUAGUAUUGACCGGCCAGAGGUGAAAUUCUUGGAUUCGGUCAAGACUAACUUAUGCGAAAGCAUUCACCAAGGAUGUCUUCUUUAAUCAAGAACGAAAGUUGGGGGAUCGAAGACGAUUAGAUACCAU